This 782-nucleotide ribosomal RNA is filed under the name Bacillus sp. (in: firmicutes). Its description in RNAcentral is "bacterial SSU rRNA". It matches the Rfam family "Bacterial small subunit ribosomal RNA", at positions 58 to 822 of the family's 1533-position model. Lineage: Bacteria; Bacillati; Bacillota; Bacilli; Caryophanales; Bacillaceae. The record is from RNAcentral.
CAAGUCGAGCGGACAGAUGGGAGCUUGCUCCCUGAUGUUAGCGGCGGACGGGUGAGUAACACGUGGGUAACCUGCCUGUAAGACUGGGAUAACUCCGGGAAACCGGGGCUAAUACCGGAUGGUUGUUUGAACCGCAUGGUUCAAACAUAAAAGGUGGCUUCGGCUACCACUUACAGAUGGACCCGCGGCGCAUUAGCUAGUUGGUGAGGUAACGGCUCACCAAGGCGACGAUGCGUAGCCGACCUGAGAGGGUGAUCGGCCACACUGGGACUGAGACACGGCCCAGACUCCUACGGGAGGCAGCAGUAGGGAAUCUUCCGCAAUGGACGAAAGUCUGACGGAGCAACGCCGCGUGAGUGAUGAAGGUUUUCGGAUCGUAAAGCUCUGUUGUUAGGGAAGAACAAGUACCGUUCGAAUAGGGCGGUACCUUGACGGUACCUAACCAGAAAGCCACGGCUAACUACGUGCCAGCAGCCGCGGUAAUACGUAGGUGGCAAGCGUUGUCCGGAAUUAUUGGGCGUAAAGGGCUCGCAGGCGGUUUCUUAAGUCUGAUGUGAAAGCCCCCGGCUCAACCGGGGAGGGUCAUUGGAAACUGGGGAACUUGAGUGCAGAAGAGGAGAGUGGAAUUCCACGUGUAGCGGUGAAAUGCGUAGAGAUGUGGAGGAACACCAGUGGCGAAGGCGACUCUCUGGUCUGUAACUGACGCUGAGGAGCGAAAGCGUGGGGAGCGAACAGGAUUAGAUACCCUGGUAGUCCACGCCGUAAACGAUGAGUGCUAAGUG